Molecule: ribosomal RNA, 253 nt
Filed under: uncultured bacterium
Lineage: Bacteria
Description: partial 16S ribosomal RNA
Rfam family: Bacterial small subunit ribosomal RNA
Source: RNAcentral
UACGUAGGCAGCAAGCGUUGUUCGGAGUUACUGGGCGUAAAGGGUGUGUAGGCGGUUCUUUAAGUUCGCUGUGAAAUCUCCCGGCUUAACCGGGAGGGUGCGGUGAAUACUGAGGGACUAGAGUACGGGAGAGGAAAGUGGAAUUCCUGGUGUAGCGGUGAAAUGCGUAGAUAUCAGGAGGAACACCGGUGGUGUAGACGGCUUUCUGGACCGUAACUGACGCUGAGACACGAAAGCGUGGGUAGCAAACAGG